Molecule: small RNA, 122 nt
Filed under: unclassified sequences
Description: LOOT RNA
Rfam family: LOOT RNA
About the family: Latescibacteria, OD1/Parcubacteria, OP11, TM7.
Source: Rfam by way of RNAcentral
UGCCUAAACCUUACAGUUCCGGCUGUAGGGCAUGGCGAAAAAUACCGUUCAGAGUUUUAAGCUCCUCGUCAGAGACUCUGAACGGUCAUAGUCCGAAAGGAUUAUGGGUAGCGAAAGCUAUC